This 449-nucleotide ribosomal RNA is filed under the name Melanocarpus albomyces. Its description in RNAcentral is "partial large subunit ribosomal RNA". It matches the Rfam family "Eukaryotic large subunit ribosomal RNA", at positions 124 to 578 of the family's 3401-position model. The record is from RNAcentral. Lineage: Eukaryota; Fungi; Ascomycota; Sordariomycetes; Sordariales; Chaetomiaceae.
GGCUUCGGCCCGAGUUGUAAUUUGUAGAGGAUGCUUUUUGGCGCGGCACCUUCUCAGUCCCCUGGAACGGGGCGCCAUAGAGGGGUGAGAGCCCCGUAUAGUUGGAUGCCUAGCCUGUGUAAAGCUCCUUACAAACGAGUCGAGUAGUUUGGGAAUGCUGCUCAAAAUGGGAGGUAAAUUUCUUCCUAAAGCUAAAUACCGGCCAGAGACCGAUAGCGCACAAGUAGAGUGAUCGAAAGAUGAACAACGCACUUUGAAAAGAGGGUUAAAUAGCACGUGAAAUUGUUGAAAGGGAAGCGCUUGUGACCAGACUUGCGCCGGGCUGAUCAUCCGGUGUUCUCACCGGUGCACUCUGCCCGGCUCAGGCCAGCAUCGGUUCUCGCGGGGGGAUAGACAGGCACACGGGAAUCGUAGCUCCUCCGGGAGUGUUAUAGCCCGGUGGCGUAAUC